Long non-coding RNA from Kogia breviceps (pygmy sperm whale), 421 nucleotides. RefSeq lists it as uncharacterized. The record is from RefSeq and is a predicted model, not a curated record. Lineage: Eukaryota; Metazoa; Chordata; Mammalia; Artiodactyla; Physeteridae.
CGUAAUUCCAAUCAAUUCCUUUUUUUUCUGAACCAGACAAAAUUACUUCAACACGCACACAGAGGCGCUAAUAUUUUGGAACAGCCAAGAAAGAUGCACCAAACAAGGCCAGUGAGGGGCACGCCCUGACCAGUGUGAAAUUCUGCAUAUGUGGGUGUGCUCCUUCCGGGCACAGUUGCAGAAGGCGCUGGAAUACACCUGUAGAGAUGGCAAGCUUCCUGCUCCAAGUCCAUACACGAUGAAAAUGAACUGUAGAAGACCCACUGCUAUGAAUUUAAGGCUCCAGAUUCAGUGUGCUCAUCUCCAGACUGCUCCGUGACAACUAGGCUGUCCCACGACGUGCAGCUGCCACGCGAGGUGAGGAGCGUUGCAAACACUCAGGCAGAGGCGGUGGAUGAGUGUGAGGGCGCACGCAGCAGAG